Molecule: non-coding RNA, 46 nt
Organism: Trichobilharzia regenti
Lineage: Eukaryota; Metazoa; Platyhelminthes; Trematoda; Strigeidida; Schistosomatidae
Source: Rfam
GUACUGCCGAAGAGUCCCAAACUAGGACGAAAUAGCUGUCCAGUAC